ACUAUUUGGGCAAUUCUAUUAGGAAAUGAGAAGGCCUGAGAGGAACAGAAAAGUAAAAAUUCAAAUAAUUGACCCAAAAUGCUGUUGACUAGAUUCAUGUUGCUUUGGCAACAUUUACUCGCUGUUGGCAGUUAAUUAACUCUUCUGUGCUUCAUCUACAAAUGGGGGGAAAUAAUGCCUACUUCGUAGGGUUUUUUUUGAGAUAAAGUGAUUUGUAAGAAUAGUGGUUGGCAUGUUGUAAUCACAUAUAAGCAUUAGGCAUCAUUAUCAUCCUCCUAGUAAUUUCCCUAAAUAGCUGGCAGAGAAAACAAACUAAUCAACAGAGCUUUAACUAAACAAGUUGGGCCAUUUAAGAAAUUUCAUUCUUUGUUGCAGAUUUUUCAUAAUUCCAAAUUUUACUUUGUUUUGUAAUGUGCAGAAUUCCCCACAGGGUGGCAGAAAAUUAUUUGAAACCAUGUAGAAUUACAUGUUUUUGUGAUCUUUCGUUUCUUCUUCAUUUCAGUAACUUAAGCAUUUAAGCUUUGAUCAGUGUUUGGUUUUGAGUAAGCCAUUAUCCUAUUUGUCUUUUCCCCCAUCUUGAUGAAUUAUCCACAUGUAUUGUUGAAA
RNAcentral lists this long non-coding RNA (606 nucleotides) under Marmota monax (woodchuck). Lineage: Eukaryota; Metazoa; Chordata; Mammalia; Rodentia; Sciuridae. The record is from RNAcentral.